Molecule: ribosomal RNA, 419 nt
Filed under: uncultured archaeon
Lineage: Archaea
Description: bacterial SSU rRNA
Rfam family: Archaeal small subunit ribosomal RNA
Source: RNAcentral
GCUCCCCUGUGGCGGGGGGCGUGGCGUGCGGCUCGGGGUCGCGUUUGUCACCUGCCCUGGNGACNCGGAGCGCCCCGGGAUACUGGGACUACUCCGUGAUAGGUCAUCUCAUCUGGGAAGGAGAGAUGGCUUACAGGGUCGCGCGGGCUUCUUCCGCGCGUUCGCUUCAGGAUGGGACUGCGUCCGAUCAGGCUGUUGGCGGGGUAAUGGCCCACCAAACCUGUAUCCGGUACGGGCCUUGAGAGAGGUGGCCCGGAGAUGGACUCUGAGAGAAGGGUCCAGGUCCUACGGGGCGCAGCAGGCGCGAAACCUUCGCAAUGCGCGAAAGCGUGACGAGGUUACUCCGAGUGGCCUCCGCUGAGGAGGUCUUUUGUCAGCUGUAUAUAGGCGGGCGAAUAUGGGGAGGGCAAGCCUGGUGU